UCGGGAAUUUUGGGCAAUGGGCGAAAGCCUGAUCCAGCCAUGCCGCGUGUGUGAAGAAGGUCUUCGGAUUGUAAAGCACUUUAAGUUGGGAGGAAGGGCCAUUACCUAAUACGUGAUGGUUUUGACGUUACCGACAGAAUAAGCACCGGCUAACUCUGUGCCAGCAGCCGCGGUAAUACAGAGGGUGCAAGCGUUAAUCGGAAUUACUGGGCGUAAAGCGCGCGUAGGUGGUUUGUUAAGUUGGAUGUGAAAUCCCCGGGCUCAACCUGGGAACUGCAUUCAAAACUGACAAGCUAGAGUAUGGUAGAGGGUGGUGGAAUUUCCUGUGUAGCGGUGAAAUGCGUAGAUAUAGGAAGGAACACCAGUGGCGAAGGCGACCACCUGGACUGAUACUGACACUGAGGUGCGAAAGCGUGGGGAGCAAACAGGAUUAGAUACCCCCGUAGUCCCUGAGCGGGCUGGCAAGGCGCAU
Molecule: ribosomal RNA, 472 nt
Filed under: uncultured bacterium
Lineage: Bacteria
Description: bacterial SSU rRNA
Rfam family: Bacterial small subunit ribosomal RNA
Source: RNAcentral